This 210-nucleotide unclassified non-coding RNA is filed under the name Hevea brasiliensis (rubber tree). The record is from RNAcentral. Lineage: Eukaryota; Viridiplantae; Streptophyta; Magnoliopsida; Malpighiales; Euphorbiaceae.
UGGCAUGUUACAAAAAACUAGAAUAUCUGACACCAGAUUGGGGAAUGUUAUCCUAGAGAAUUAACUUGAGUCAGCAUAGAAAAGGUUCAAUAGUCCAGGGAAGAAUAAUCUCCUGAUGGAGAUGGACCCUUUUCUUCCAAUACAAUGCAAAUUAGAUAAGGUUUUCAUGGUACGUACGUUGCCAAUUCAUUCUUAGACAUUACUGCGAGA